CCUACGGGCGGCAGCAGUGAGGAAUAUUGGUCAAUGGACGCAAGUCUGAACCAGCCAUGCCGCGUGCAGGAUGACGGCUCUAUGAGUUGUAAACUGCUUUUGUACGAGGGUAAACGCAGAUACGUGUAUCUGUUUGAAUGUAUCUUACGAAUAAGGAUCGGCUAACUCCGUGCCAGCAGCCGCGGUAAUACGGAGGAUUCAAGCGUUAUCCGGAUUUAUUGGGUUUAAAGGGUGCGUAGGCGGGUGGAUAAGUUAGAGGUGAAAGUCCGAGGCUCAACUUCGGAAUUGCCUCUGAUACUGGCAGGCUAGAGAGCAGUUGAGGUAGGCGGAAUGUAUGGUGUAGCGGUGAAAUGCUUAGAGAUCAUGAAGAACACCGAUUGCGAAGGCAGCUUACCAAGCUACUUCUGACGUUGAGGCACGAAAGCGUGGGGAGCAAACAGGAUUAGAUACCCCUGUAGUC
This 460-nucleotide ribosomal RNA is filed under the name uncultured bacterium. RNAcentral's name for it is "partial 16S ribosomal RNA". It matches the Rfam family "Bacterial small subunit ribosomal RNA", at positions 338 to 795 of the family's 1533-position model. The record is from RNAcentral.